UGGUGGUGGUGAUGUGUCCACAAGCAUCCGACGAUGGGUCUGUAAAGAAGCACUUUGCGGCUGGAACGAUGUGUAGGGGGUUCUUUUGAUACAAUGUCGAAUCUUCUUAAUUACGAGAGAACAUUCUUUUUAUGUAGCUACGAUGUGCUAGUGUAUUGGUGCUUCGAGUGUUAGUGUUGUACUGGAGUAUAAUGUACCAUUCCGAUGAUAUGUAAUGUACUACUCUGUCGAUUUGAAAAAAAAACUUGUACGCACACCUAUUGAAGAAAAAUUUGAGUCAAUUGUAACAAAACUCAAGGUUGAAACUUUGUCGAACUAAGGUCGGAACUUUGUUCGAACGAUUACAUAGGACAAGUAGAAAGAACGAGAAUUCACAUGUAAGUGAGGAAAGAAAAAAUUAAAAACCAAAACAAAAAGAAGAAAGAAUUGACAUAUUUGGAGAUUGCGACGUCAAUUAAAGAGCCAAUUCUCAGAGAGGAAGCACCGGAGGCUGGUGGUGGCGGUGGAGCGGAAGCAGGAGAGAGUAGGGAAAUCCGACGGUGAGAUUGACCUUUUGGCCCCGCUCGUAGUUAUCACCAACGGAAGAGAUGAAGUAGCUUAUAAAAAUUAAUUAAUAAAUGAACAUUUAUUGUAAUAUAGCUUAUUUUAUAAUUAAAAUAGAGGAUUAGACGAUAUUAAUUUCUUGGAAACGACUGCUAAGCUUAAGCGACGAAGGAAAUUACUGCUACAAGUGUGGGGAUGAGCCCAACGAAAGUACGAAGAGUAGUGGUAGUGAGAGAUGAAGCGUGGGAGGAUGGUGGUGGAGGAGCUAACAGAGAAGAGGUGGUGGUUGGUGAUCCAACGGUGAUGCUGACCUUUUGGCCUUGCUCGCGGUGGUCACCAACGGUGCAGAUGAAGAAGCGGGAACUGGUAGAAUUGAGUACCGUCCUUACUCCUGGUCCCAGUACGAUCCCAGGGUCACUACUGCAGCUAUCAUAUUCUUCGUUUGUUGCUAUUUCCCCCACAUUAUGGUCCCACGUUUCAGUCCAAUUGAACACUGCAAUGCCAAAAAAUCACAACAAUAAGUUAACAACAAAGAUAUAUAAAUACUCAUAUGAACUUGGACACAAGAGCCAGGAAUAAUUAAUGCCCCGGUUCGGUUACCUGACCUAACUUCCGUCUAGUUGUUACUGGAAAUUGGAAAGCGCACUUACCGACUUUAUCUCCUAUUUGGAAUGUCUUUGAGGCAGCGCAGUCGGAGUAAACGGAGGUGUAUAAGGGCAAGCCACCGCCAUACUCACCAAGCAAGCCAUCAUCAUAUUAAUAUCUCUGCGACUGCCCAUAUCCUUACGCAUGGUGAAUAUUUUGAUCGGCGUACGUGUUUUUCGGCGAUCUGCAAGUACUUUUUCUUGGAUCGACGUACGUGUUUUUCCUUUUUCGUUUAUAAAUAUGCAUGCGUACGAUUUAUGAAAUCAAUUUUCUAAUAAAUUAAGCAUAUAUGUUGUAUGUGUGGCGGGAAAACCUUGAAAACUUUGAACAAGUUGAAUAUAACCCUGCAUUGCCUGGUGAUUUUGAUGCACUCUAAAAGAAAAAAGAAGAAAGAAAUCACCAAGUUUUACCAGUUCCAUCGUCCCAGAGUCAAAGACUUACGGGUUCAUUGAGGGAUGCCGUUGCACUCCCACACACGACCUGGUCUAUGAAUCUACGAUUUCUUCUCUUUAACUUCUAGUUUUCAAAGAACUAGUAUCUUUACUCUUUCGCAACUCUACAUGCUUGCUAUACUUUAAAGUAUAAACGCGUUGUUUAUUCAUAUUAUAACACAUAACUCUAGCCUCAACAACACUCAACCGAAAAAUUAUCUAGUAGGGAAGGAAUAAAAAAGAAACCAAAUUACACGUGUGAAAGAUGUCUUUUUGCCCUUGAUCUUGUCCUUGCCCUCCUAAAACGGAUGGACUUGCUCUAAGCUGCCAUUUGUAUUCAGACAUGCCCUGGUCUAAAAAGACUCUAAUUAAGCUGACUGCAGUCGUUUGAGUUCAAGUGAGGUAUGCAAAGGAUAAUGUUUUCAACUUCAAAAGUUUACUUAACCCUCGUCACAAACGGGUGCCAAAUCCGUGGCUAUAAGUAUCAUAUUUUGGCUUUCUCCUUCUGCACAAAUAUUCAAAUAUCCAAAUCACACCCUGAUUAGUACCGUGCCAACUGGAUCACAUUGACGUGAAGCUGGCCAACAUGGCCAGAAGCUAGUCAGUAGCGUUAUCGCCGGAACUAAACCUAUCGAUCCUAGUCCGACUCUAUCCCCACCAGCACCGCCGCCGCCAAACUCCACUUACCAGCUCUAACACCUGUUGCCACCGCUUGUUCUAUUUGUUAUCUCCACCAUAGUCAUGUCUUUCUUCUUGUACUUACAUCUAAAUAUUAACUCUAUAACGUGUAUAUUAUUAUUUUUAUAUCAGUAAUGCUAAUUGAUCACAUCUAUAUCGAAUAUGAUAAUGCUUGUGUCCUUUACAUGGGGGACUUACUUGUUCCACCAAUUACGAUUAACGAACUUUUACCAUAUGAACAUCAUAAUCAAAAUCAUUUAUUAUCUUUAUCAUUAUCUAAAGAUUAUAUGUGCAAAAAAAAAAAAACAUUCAAUUUGAGAUGUUUUAGCCAUUCACAUGUAUAAAACAAAUGGACGUUUUAUCAUAAGGAUGUUGCUUGUUACCAAAACCGUUGAUUGGCAUAAUCGUAAGUAAGGGGACACAAGCAUUAUCCUAUAAAAUAUAUGACCGCUUUUGUUAGAAGGUGAUCAACCAUAACAUAUGGUGAUGUGUGAUUAAUUUAAAAUAUUAUCACUCUAGCUGUUCUAAUUUCAUGUAAAUUCUUCUCUUAUUAGAGAAAUGAUACAUAAUGUAGAACAAGGAACACCAUUCUAUAUAUUAAUUUAUCAAAAGUUUUGUUAAGAAGGUUCUAUCGAUCAUACAAUAAAAGCGUUAAUCAUACCGCAAGGAACAAAAUUAUUUAAACUUAUACUGAUUGACCAGGCCCAGCUCAAUUGACAAAGCUAGGCUUAAUUUUGCACAUUUGGGGGCCUUAUAUUCCACAUCGCAAUUUGAUAUGUAAUAGUACAUUUUGUGGAAAUGUGAGACCAAAUUAUGCAACGUUUAUAAAAAGUUGGGUUAUUUUUUUUUAUCAAUUUUUUUUAUUGUGGAAUUUCAAUUUUCUUUAUGGUAUCAGAGCAGGUCGGCUCACCUGUGAUGUACAUUGGCCAUACGUGCUUCACGUCCUCCAAUUUAUGUUUUUCAUGUGUUAGACUUGAAAAUUCGCCACACGUGGGAGCGUGCGAGAAUGUGAGAACAAAGUCCUACAUCGGUGACGGACCAAAACCAUGCAAGGGAAUUGAACUACUUUUCAUAUUGUCAAUUAUUUUUAAGAUGAAACCUCAGCUUUCUUCGCAUUCAACAUUUCCAAAAGAAAAGAAUAUCAAUAAACAUAAUCUGCAGAAACAGCAUAACAUGAAUUGUAAAUGAAGUAAGUACAUUUAGUUAAUGCUAAGGAAGGAGAUGACUAGUGCAGUGCAGAGGAUUAGGGCAACAAUAUUAAGGCUGAGAGAAGAAGCGCCGUUCCAUUCCCACCAAUGAUCAUCAUCAUCGUUAUCUCCUGAUGAAGAAUAAUCUCCUCCAAUUCUGAUAGUCACCUUCUGCCCUAAUCUACUGCAGUGACUAUCUUCCGUGCAUAUGAAGUAACGGGUCAAGUUGGACGUCAGUACAAUUCUUGUAGGGCUGGAAUCAUAGAAACCAAGAGGGUUGUCCUUUGAGCAGCUAUCGUAAUCAGCCUGUGUUACUUCAGCUACUCUGUGUUCCCCGCUCCAUUUGAAUUCUGCAAAAUGAUUGAGAGAUAAAGUUAAGCUGAUGUUCAUCAAUAAGAAAGGAUAAACUCUCUUUGAAGGAAGAGAUGAUGCGCUGUGAACACCUCACUUAUACUCAAAUUUCUUCGUUUUUAAAUCUCACUAAUGGACAUUGUUGACUAUUAGGGUAACAAGUGGUCCUCUAGAACUUCGAUUUUAAGUCCUAACUAACAAUUUUGGUCUACUUAAAACCUAAAUCAAAGUGAUUAUUAACCAAUUCGAGACUAAAAUUUCUAGUCUCAAAUGAUGAUUUUACACCCUAAAACUUCAACCAUGUUAACAAAUGGGAUAAAAGUUGAAGACAAAUGAGUAUAAAUAGGAUUUUCUCAAUAUGUAAUGUUUUUAAAGACAUGACGUCAUGCACAAAGACGGACUGAAUAAAAGGCCAAUUUGAAUGAUGAUUUAGAGGUAAGAAAGUCGGUUGUGAACUAAUUAACUUACGACUUACCUAUUGUAUCACCAAUCUGAAAUCUCUUUGCGUUAGCCCAGGUGGAAUAGGCAACAGAGCCAGCUGGAGGAAUAGUCCAGCCUAAAUCAUCCCCAACUUUGUAGGUUUCAGCUGUGGCACCCUUCCACAAGGCCACUACAACAAGAAGCAAACAACCGAUCAAUCCCUUCUGACUCACCAUUUACUCAAUCUCUUCUUUCUCUUUGGAAGUGUUUUGGUGUAUGAAUCAGUUAUUAAUGUCGACUACUUAUACACAAACAGAAUAAUGAGCAAAAGAUAGAGUUCGCAGCGGGUGCCUUUAGGAAGGGAGUUCCUAUUGUUUUCAAAUAAGGCGGCUGAAGCUAACUUUAACUGAUCAGAGGUUUGACCAUAUUGUAUAUCGACCUUUUUUCUUUUGAGAAUAAAACGUGUUCUUCUGGAAGCAAAGAGCAAAACAUAAGGAUUAUUGUACAACCUUAGGAUAUUAUUAAUGUGUACCAACGUUGACUAAAGUUAGUGAAUAGAGAAAGUGAUGUACAUCAGAUGGCUGAAACUAGCUAUCAACAUUAAUGUCACGGACUUGAGAUCGGCAAAAACUAUGAAUUCAAAAUGCGAGUAAAUUUAAAUAGAUAAAAAUCUAAAAUGAAAGAAAAUAUAGGGGAAUUUGGGGUUGGAGACAAAUAGUUAGACAAAAUUACUAACAAAAAGAGAAUGAGAUUAUUGGAAAGGGUUUAAUUAGUUCAUAUGGUUAAGCAAUUGGGACCUAGUGGUAUAGCUAAAAGAAAGUUGAGAUUAUACAAUAAACUAAUUGACAACACAUGGAGUACACAACUUGUUUUUAAACCCAUGUAAGAUCCAUUCUCCAAUUAAUGUGAGAUUCAUUCUCAACGCACUUCAUCACAUGCGACGAACCCUCUUAGAAAUAAAAACUAGAUUUGCCUAACUCCUUCAACCUAUUGGUCAAGUUACUUGUUUCCACUUGCCUUACAAGUCGAGCCGAGCAUAUAUGUGCAAUACAAAUUUGGUGACGUGGAGCAUGUGUGGUAUUUGGGCUUGACACAUGAGACAACAUGCUUUGAUAGCCUGAAAAAAGUUGAGGUUCCACCAUAAAAUCAAUUAACAAUAUUGAGAGUAGCUCAAUUUCUUAUAAACUCAUACAAGGUCCCUUCUCUCAUCAAGGAGGGAUUCAUUCUUAACAGGCUUCUUCAUGUGUGGCGGAUUUUCAAGCCAAACAUGUGAACAACACAAGAAAGGUGAUGUGCGUGGAUAACAUGUGACCAUUGGGUUUCACAUGUGGGACAACCAACUCUGACAUCGUGAAGUAAGUUGAGGUUCCAUCAUAAAACCAACUGGAAAAACGAGGAAUUACCCAACUUACCUAUAAGUCUAUGCAAAUUCUCUUCUCCCAUCAAUGUGGGAUUCACUCUUAAUAUAGGCAUGGUAUGAGAUGUGCAAUGUUUGUUUAUUCAUUUAUAUGAAUUAAUGAGAAUAGAGACAAGAAAUUUGCAUUGUAAUUUGCAUACAUCAAUAAUGAUUUGAUACUUGACCACAAGAUGUACUUAUUUAGCGUUGUCAAUUUACUGUGAUAAUGUGUAUGCCCUUAUUACUGUUGAUACUCACCCCUCCACAAAUAUUUUUUUUGUAGGUUUACAAACUAGACAUUGGUAAGAUAGACGGAUGAUAUCAAAUUAGAUAGGAGGGAAGGAAUUUUAUUUCUUCUUGCAGUUGUAAGAAAUUAUUGGUUAAUUUUACAAGAGGAAUUUACUUUCAUCCAAUUUUAGGUUCUAUUUGUUUAUUUAAAUUUGACUCACACUUCAAAUUCGAAAUUGCAUGAUAGUUAUCGCUAGAACUAACCCUGUUGUUUCUAGUCCAAAAUUGCCCCCAUCCCCAUCGUCGUCGCCAAACUCUGCUUUAGCUGCGACGUCCGUUGCCACCACUUUAUUUGCAAUCGUGUCUACUAUCAUGCUAUGUUAAUAUUAAUCUACGUGUUGUAAUAUGAUCUUACACAUAUCAAUUGGCAGCCAUUGUUGUGACUGGCUUUCGAGGCCCCCUAAUUUCAUUUUGGACCUCUUAGUUGAGGAUUGCUUGUGACUGAUUUUACUGGUUACUUGUAAUCUUUGAUGUACUGUCUGGAUUGGGGCUGUUUUGGCUCCAAUCUCUGAAGAUUACCAUCGCAACUUUUCAAAUUGAAAAAAAAAUAAAAAUGCGUGACUAUAUGUGGUGGUCACACCAAAUAACUUAUCUUGAAUUUUAAUUGUACCUCCACAUGUGUAACAUGUAUCAUUUUAUAAAUUUUUACCAAUGUAUUAUUUGACUAUUUCUGAGAAGGUGAGUUUUUCUUAACUGAUAGAUAUGAAUAAUAGGCGUUAAUCAUAACGCAUGGCUGAUAUAGAUUUACUGAGUCACAAUUUAUCCUCGGAUUGACUAAAGUCUAAACUGAGCACGACUAAACCCAUCUCAACGGACAGAGCUGGCCUUAAUUAAUUCAUCCAAAAAGUUCGAGAAAAAAGGCUUAAAUAGAUUAAUUUCAUGUGGUGAUAGGGUAAUCAGAAGGUAUAGCUCAUGUGGUAAAAAAUUAUUAGGAUUGAAACCCCUAUAGUGAAGUCCAUAAGGAUUGAAACUGACAUGCUAACACAAGGCUAUCUUCCUACGACUCUAUCAUCAUGGGACUAAUAAUCCAAUUAGGCCAAAAAAUAAAAUCCAAAACUUUCCGAAACAUUCGAGCAAAUAAAACAAAGUCCAAAACUUCCAACUCUGAAUGGAAAAUCUUUGCUUUAGUAGUAAUGAAAAGAAUCAAUCAAAAUGAUGAAAACACAUGAAUAUAAAUUAGGUAUUAAGUAGAAUUAAUUAAAGCUAUAGAAGAAGAUGGCCAUCGCAGUGAGAGAAGAAGAGGAGUUGCGGUCCCACCAGCAAUCAUCAUCUUCAGAAAUGUUGAUAGUCACCUUCUGCCCUAGAUCACUGCGGUGAGUAUCUACCGUGCAGAUGAAGUGACGGGUCACGUUGGAAGUCAGUGUAAUACUUGCAGGGCUGGAAUCAUAAAAACCAAGAGGGUUCGAAUUUGAGCAGUCAUCGUAAUCUGCUCAUCGUAAUUGUUAGGAUCCUUCGGCCACCAUAGGUUACUAGUAUUUAUUAGGCCCAUUGCUAAUGUUAAACCCACUAAGACUACUAAACCCUAACUAUUCUUUUGUGUAUUUAAACUACUAUGUUCAUCUAAAUGGCAUGAAUGAAGAUAUGAAUUUAAUUUCCUUUAAUUUUCUUUUCCAUUUCCUGCAUUACUUUUCUUGCAAUUUACCUUUACCAUGUAUGAUCCUAUCAGUAAUCAACCUUUGAUACUUCGGCUACCGUAUGAGAUCCACUCCACUUGAAUACUGCAAAACAAUUUUAGAAAAAUAAAUAAACAGAUGUUCACCAAUCAAAAGGAGAAAUUUUCUUUGCAGAAAUUCAUUUAAAGGAUCGAUCCAGGUUCUAAUUUGAAGAAAUAGAGAUCACUCUUAUAAAAAUCUCCGCCUAGCAUCUCUUAGGCCAUUGCCUAGACGCUAGACGGUUGGCCAUUGCCACAAUUAAUCACUAGGUGUUUGAAAAUUAAGAAAGAGUGUCUAGACCUGCCUAACUGUUUUAGUUGCGACUCUCACUUAAACACAAAAUAAAUAAAUUUCAUUUUGCAUUUUAUUUUUUCAAUAAAUUGUAAGAGACUUAUUGAAUAUUUAGUCGAAGACUCAAUUUAUGCUUGUUCUUCAUGUUUAAAUAUGUUCUAAUAGUUUAUAAUUUAUAUGUCAUUCUAUUUUGUAAUUUAUGUAUCUAAAUACAAUUACGUAUUUUUAAGUAUAAGUAAACAUUUAUUUAUAUGUUAUAUAAUAAAGUUAAUCAAAAUUAAAAAAAAAAACCACCUAGGUCUCCGCUCAACUAGUGCCUAGCACCAACCUUGAUUGAGAUUUGUCUAUAAAGACAUGACGUCCUGCACAGAUCUAAACUGAUCAAUAAGAAAUAACAAAUAUUAAUGAAGAUUUAGAGAAAUAAUUUUUUAGUUAUCUAUUGUAUCAUUAAUCUGAAAUCUCUGUGUUAGCCCAUGUGGAGUAGGCAAUAGAGCCACCUAGAGGAAUAGUCCAUUCUAAAUCGUCUCCGACUGUGUAAGUAUCAGCUGCGGCACCGCCGAACAAGGCCACUGCAACAAGAAGAAAGCAACCAACCAACCUCAUAAGACUCACCAUUUCUCUCCUGUGUGUUCUUCUUUACGUCGUCCCUGGCUACAAACCCUAAUUUCUUCUUUUACUCUUUGCAAUUUUUUUUUAUGUGUGUAGAUGAUUAUUGAUUUAACGUCGACUACUUGUACAGAAGUGAAGGGUGACCAAAAGCUAUAGAAUUUUAUUAUUUUCGACAUUUCGAAAGCGAGUUUCAUUGUUUUCCAACGUGAACAGAUAAUCUAGAAGUUUGACCUUCUUACACACACACACGCACGCACGCACGCACGCGCACGCGCGCAUAUAUAUAUAUAUAUAUAUAUAUAUAUAUAUAUAUUAUUUUCUUUUGAAAAAUAGUUAAAGUGUUUUUCUAGAAGCAAAGACCGAAAAGACUAGUAUAAUAUUGUACAAUCUAGCAAGAGUCAUAAAUUUUGGAUUUAACCUCGAAUUCCCAACAGGAUCCUUUUCGAUGAGAAUCUUGAAAGGAAAACUAAUGAAAAGGGCUUGAAAACUUUGAGUUUUAAUGAUAAGGACAAAAUAAAGGGUAAAGUGAAUAGUACCAGAAUUGAUUUUUUAGUGUAAAAAUGUGGUUUUUCGUUAAAGUGAACAGUACCGGGUGCUUUUCGUUAAAGUUCCCUAUCUUGAAAAUUCGUUAAUCGUGUUCGUUUAUUGUACAUUGUGCCAUCAGUUUUUAUCAGGUAUUAUUUGUAUUUAAUUUUAAAUAAAAAUAUUUAAAAUAAUUUCUGAUCACAUGAUGUACGAUGAAUAGACACGAUUUACGAAUUUUUAGAGUCCACAUAAAGAGAAUCCGAAUUCCUCAAAUUCAACCUUUUUCUUUUUUUUUCCCAGGUUUUCUGGGUGCAAUUGAAUAAAGCAAAUUAAAAAAAAAAAAAACUACGUAAGUUCUUCAUCAUCUUGUUUUUCCGUAUUUAGUAAUUUGUAUAUAUAGUAAACUUGAUCUGUUUCUACUUUUUUAGUAUAUCGCCUUUACAACAAGAAUUUUUUUUUAUCACGACCCUAAAGUAAUGGUGAUACUCAUCAUCUUAUGGAUUCGAACCCCGUUAAUGAUUAAUCUAAUAAAAUCUAUCAUUUGACAAAAAAAUAAAAAAAAAGUAAUGAUGAUGCUCAUUACCUUAUUUAUCAUCAUUAUAUGCAUUUAAAUUUAGAAAUUUGUAUAGAUGAUAGAUACAAAUCUCAAAAUUUUAAUUCAUCUAACAAUGAUAAAUAAAGUAGUGAACAUUAUCACCACUUGAGAGUAAUUAACAUUAUCAUCACUUGAGGGUGUAAACAAAAAUACACCCCUUAUAACAAUGUGAAACGUAUAUUGCCAAGAGACUAAAUUGUAAUCAAACGAAAUGGAAAGGUGUAGGCAGGCAUCAUGGCCCAAGUCAAAUAUUUUGACUUGAACUAGGUGCGUUUUGUAUUGUUGCCACGUUGAUGUAUUUAUUACUUGGGCUCCAAUAUAGAUGGAUAUCACAAUGAGAACGUAUAUAUAUUACGGGGCUGUGAUAUCCACACAUUUUAUUUUAUUUCUUACAUAUUUUUUUAAUUUUUUACCGUCAGAUCGGAUGAAUUGAAGAAGAUCAACGAACAUAAAUUAUUAAGGGUGUGUGAGAAGUAAAAUGAGGUAUGUGAAUAGCACACCCUUAUAUUAUAUGACACAACGUAACAAGUAAAAGCGAUCAAAUGUUAACCAAGAACAUACAGAAGUUUGUACACCAGCAAAAGGAUCAGAUUGACCACAAAUUUUGUUUGAUUGAUGAUAUGAAGAUAACAACCGUAUUACGGUAUUAGCAAAGCUAAAGUUGCUUUUAUAGAAAAUUUUCAUUAUGUUUUUAGGGAAUAAAAUAUUAUAAAUUUUUAGAAAUGUCAACAACAGUUAACUACGUAAUUAUUAACGGGUUUAGUACAUAUAGUUGUUUUUUCGUAUGAGUCAAAAGUAUUUUGAACGUAUCAGUUACAAAUUAAACAUGAGGGAUUGAAGAAGAAGAAAAGAUUGAUCAACGAAACUUAGUAGAAAUGUUUAAAACAAAGUUAUGCUAUGGUCAUUUUUAUUUCAUUUAACGAAACCAUGCCAAGUGGGUCUUUCUGCUUUUUGCCACUGUCUUUUAAUAGUCGUUAUACGUCUCUUUCUCUUAAUUGAAUAAUGUUUCUUUUUAUCAAACAAAUCUAAUUAUUAUGUGGCUAAACUGGAUUUGGUCUCUUUUUGAGUCUUGACAACUGAAAGGCUGUGGCAUUAAACAAACCCAGUUGCAAAAGUUAAGCACGUAAUCUAAGAAAUUAUCUUAGAAGAUGAGGCGCACUAUGGCACCGUGUCAAACCCAAAUGUAUCAAUUUCUGAUCUUGUGUCAAACCCAAAUGUAUCAAUUUCUGAUCUUAUGUCAAACCUAACAAAUUAAGUUGUUGAAAGAGUUGGUAAAUUGAAAACGAAGUAUAUAACAUAACUGACUUUGUAGUUCAGUUUGUUAGGAACAUUCACAUUUGCAUAUUUUGUUUUCAACUGUUCAUAUAUAUUGCUUUGUAUUUUAAAAGAAUCAAACAAUCUAUUUUAUUGCAUUUAAUCUUUACUUUGUUGGAGAAAGUCACGAAUUUAAAUUUCAUAGAAAAAAAUUAUUGAAAAAACUCUGAAGAAUUUAGUUGAAUUCAUUUUGUGUAAAAUUUCGUUGAUCAUAUUACUGAAUGUCAAAAUUCAAAACCAAAAAUUUAUUAUUAUGCAAAAAAAAAAAAAAAAAAACUGAUCAAUAUCGUAUUACAACAAUCACGCUAUAGCUGUCUAGUUGAAUGAAUCACAUCACACAAGAUUUAAAACUAUAUACCGCCCCGGAAAAUAAUCUAAAACAACAAAGCUAGAGCAAUGGACAAAAAGGAAGCGGAAAGGCCAGCGGCGCCGAGAGAAGCUGCUGCAUUUGGUGGUGGUGGUGCUGCACCUUCAGGUGUCGGUGACGACGGAGUAGUUGGGGUGGUUGGAGUUCCAGAUGGAGGGGUGGCACUAGAGCCUGGAGGGGUGGCACUGCUGCUUGGAGGAGUGGCGGUCGAGGAAGGUGGCGUGGCGGUGGUGCUGCCGGAGGUGACAUUGAUGGCAAGCUUCUGGCCUCCGACACAGUGGCCGGUGAAAGUGCAGAUGAAGAAAUUCUCGCCGGUGGUGUUGAGAGUGAUUCUCGUUGGUGGGUUCGUGAACAGAGCGAGGGUGUUGCUGGUGUUGCAUGAGUCGUAGUUUGCCUUGGUCACCUCUGCCACGUCGUGUGUUCCGUUCAAAUAGUUGAACACUGCACAAUAAAAAAACAGAAUCAACACCUUAAAGACUAACUAAUUUAAAAAAAAAAAAAACGUAAAUUGUUUACGAGGCAAAAAAUCUGAACUAUUUUGAUUUGCGUGACAAGAGAUCGAACUCAAAAAGAAUUGGUGACUUCGUCACGACAUGCCACCCUUUCAAGGCCGGAAUACUCCAGAGCAUUCAGGCAUAAAUACUCUCCAGAAAAACAAUCCCAAAAGACCAUAUUUAGCGUAAUUGAGGCUUACCUAGAGUGUCACCAACCAAAAAGGUCUUGUUAGCAGCCCAAGUUUGGUAAGAGCCUGGAGGGAGGACGGUCCAUCCGGAGUUGUUGCCAACGGUCCAAGUGACAGGUGCUCUUGUGGAGCUUGGUGUUGGUGCUGGGACAGAGGCCGGUGGUGAAGGUGGAGGAGGAGGAGGAGGAGUAGUACUUGGAGCCGGAGCCGGAGCCGGAGAAGAAGCUCCGUUCACAUUGAUGGACAAUUUCUGACCGGCACUGCAAUGGCCAGCGAAGGUGCAGAUGUAGUAAUGCUCCCCUGAAGAGCUAAGAGUGAUAUUUGUA
Molecule: long non-coding RNA, 12300 nt
Filed under: Malus domestica (apple)
Lineage: Eukaryota; Viridiplantae; Streptophyta; Magnoliopsida; Rosales; Rosaceae
Description: long non-coding RNA (MDOM_LNC001317)
Source: RNAcentral